AUGGAUGCACAUAGACAGCAUGGGAUGGUCCUAUUAACAUAGUACCAGGAGUGCUAAAGCUCAGAAUGGGAUGAAGUUGACUAGCCAAAGAGACUUUUACAUUGGAAAUGACAAGACAAGAAUGGCUAAUGGGGAGUUAAAAAGUGGAGAGAGAAUAAGAGAGCACCUAGAUACCCUUCGUGAAUUCAAGUCACUUGGCCCAGAUGAACUCCAUCUUUGAGUAUUGAAAGAAUUCAUAGAUAUGAUGGCUAAGCCACUGUCAAUGACAUCUGAAGAAAGAUCACAGAAAACAGAAGAGGUACCAAAGGAUGGAAAAAGAAUAAAUAUUGUCUCAACUUUUGGAAGAGGGAAAGUCUGCAAUUUAUAAACUGUUACAGGUUGGACUAGUAGCCAAAGUUCCUUCCUACUAAAAUUCUGUGAUUCAAUGAUUCUGAUAGUUAACCUGCCAGACAAAGCGCUUGGACCAGAGACACAGUGUUACAAAGGAGGUCCUGCUUUAGAAUAGCCUGGGAGUACAUGGACAUGGCUUAGAGACGAAGUAUCUCCCCUUCAUUCAAGAGUGUUUACUGUGCUCCA
Molecule: long non-coding RNA, 576 nt
Organism: Trichosurus vulpecula (common brushtail)
Lineage: Eukaryota; Metazoa; Chordata; Mammalia; Diprotodontia; Phalangeridae
Exons: 3
Source: RefSeq, a predicted model, not a curated record